GUUCCUCUCACAUGGCAUCACAUUUGUUCCAUUAGAACCUUAAAGCUCUUCACGAAAGAAACGUUUUUUCCCGACCUACGAAAUCAAGGGCAUUCACAAAGGGGGGAUUUUUUUCCCCUACGGCAUUAAUUUUCCCAAACCAGCUGUUUUGGUUCAGGCUCUUUCCUACAAGAGAUUGAAGCAGUAAGUCGUACGUAAGACAUU
Molecule: long non-coding RNA, 204 nt
Organism: Vigna radiata var. radiata (mung bean)
Lineage: Eukaryota; Viridiplantae; Streptophyta; Magnoliopsida; Fabales; Fabaceae
Exons: 3
Source: RefSeq, a predicted model, not a curated record